This is a small nucleolar RNA of Cornus florida, 108 nucleotides long. The record is from RefSeq and is a predicted model, not a curated record. NCBI's taxonomy places the organism in Eukaryota, Viridiplantae, Streptophyta, Magnoliopsida, Cornales, Cornaceae.
UAGCCAUGAUGUGGGCAAUAAUUUAAUAAAUCUUUAAAACGUUCCCAACAUUGAUAAAAAGUUUCAUUUUCUUUUUGAGAAAAAUUCAUAAUUUGCCUUUUUAAAGCA